This is a long non-coding RNA of Phyllopteryx taeniolatus (common seadragon), 2266 nucleotides long. RefSeq lists it as uncharacterized. The record is from RefSeq and is a predicted model, not a curated record. Lineage: Eukaryota; Metazoa; Chordata; Actinopteri; Syngnathiformes; Syngnathidae. The transcript has 4 exons.
GUAAAAUCAUGACUUUCAUGCUUAUACAAUUAUAACUUUUUUCCACGUAAAAUUACAACAUUAUCAUCAUAAAACACAACUUCAUUCUCAAAAUAUUUGAACUUUUCUUUUGGAUCAAAUUAGGACUUUGAUCUUUCCAAAAUUACAACUUGUAUUCAUAAACUGACAGCUUGAUUCUAAGUCAUUCAAAUUACACCCUUUUUCCCAACACAGAGUUACAACUUUUCUUUUUCAUAAAAUCACAACCUAUUUAAAACUCAUUCACUGCCAUUGACGGCUGUCCAAUUCAAAUAUCCAUGUUAACACGGAGGACUGGAAGCCAAUGUGAAUGUGAACAUUACCUUUAGCUAUUAGCAUGACAUAAACGUGACAUAACCGAGCUAAUAACAAACAAGCAAUGAAAGAGCAAACUUGAGGUGGUGCAUUCGAAUCAUGUAGCAGGUGGGUGUUGGCAACUACAUGAACGGGCAUGAAAGUCUUGUCGAACGGGCGACUGUGAAUCAUCUUGCAGCUCCGAGAUAGGAGGAAAAAAGAAAUAAUACAUUUGCUCUCAAGGUUGCAUUCAGGUUGUCAAAUGGGAGAAUUUCAAGAGAAAAAACUGGCAGUGGUAAAUGCACACGAGGGAAGGUUAGUGCCUUUGCGUUCCAUCCCAAAUGUCCCCCAGGUGCUGUUUCCAGCCUGACUUCUGACUAAAUGAAUAAAACAUACUUGGCGUUUGCAUUUGAAUCUCCUGCAAUGAUUGUGCUCAAAGCAAACUAGAGCAGGGGACACGCAUACUGAUAAUAGGGCUGGGUUGAAGCUUUUUCCCCCCCCCCACUCUUCCGAUCAAAGUCAUCAAAGGCCCAAUUGUCAGAUGUCUUCGUGAAGAUUAUCCUAAGUGAUGAAUUAUCCUGUGGUGCGGGGUGUGUUCAGAAUUAUAUAUUUUUUCUGCUAGGAAAAUGGUUGGGGUCGACAACAAUGUUAAAAUUGGCAAUUAGACGCCGAGUAUCGUUCUAUUUUUACACUUUCAACCGGCCAUCGAAAAAGAAAAAACAAAAAAGUGACUGAUUUUCUUGCGGUUUGGAGAAAAACAUUUGGAGAUGCUUGCUUUUCAUUGGACAGCGCCGUUACGCAUCGGAGCACUCGCACGAAAGUCGGUUCAAUUCUGACGUUAACAGCACGGUUAGUUUCGUGACCGCAGUCGCAUCUCAAAUCAUCUUUCUCCAUUGAAAUUCAAGGUUCGGACUCUCUGACUUGAAACGGAGCGACUGGAUAAGCUGGCAGAUUUUCUUCUUUGUAUUUUUCCAGCAGUCUGGAUGCGCUGCGGCAACACGCUGCCGCUCACAGACGGAUCAGAGAUCAGCGCCCAAGUGACACCUGGCCAACGUGAGCAUGUGUUUUCCGGAGGCCUGCAAUGCGUCACGGAGCACGUGCGUUACGACGAAAUUUGCUCGGUCGCAUCGCAUCGCAUCGCGGCGGCUCGGCAAACGGGCUCACCAGCAGCCAAGAGGUUGCGGAGCAAUGGUUUCAGCAACCGGCGCGGCGUGGUCGGAAGAAGGCUGACAAGCGGGUCAGGUUUUGUCCGGGAAAUUCUGGAGAGGAAAAAAAAAUAAAAAAGUGAAACCGUUUGGACUUCCCUGCAGUUAAAUGAUUCCAUUGGACGCAAAACCGUGCGGAUCAAUGGAAACAGCAACUUGCCAUGAUCCAUCCCAGCCGUUUCAUCGGGGCACCUCUUGGAAAUGAACUCACAAAGACUCCUAAUGCCGCCACGCCAUGAUGCAUCAUUCGGCGCCAUCAACACUCCGACUCGCCUCGUUGGAAUCUUAAUGCGAUUCCCGCCGGUCGAGAGUGACUCGGCGCGCGUUCGGGCCUUCCCGACGGUGACAAGGCAAUUUACAGCGAGCCCUCGUGCGGUUAACAUCUUUAAGCUGCCAGCUGCCCUCGGUUGAAGUUGCACGCCGUUCCCCCGAAAGUCACAUUUCAUUGGGCCAUUUUUCCUCGAGGCCCGGAAGUGCUUUUUAAAGCAUAAUGAUCACAUUUGAAACAGUUCCCAGGUGCCUUCAUAACAAGCGCUCGCAACCUAUUUGUCAUUUUGCUGAAACGGCGGCAGUAAUUUCCCCAGGCAGGAGGAAAAUACGGACGGCGCGUCAGGUGGAUGCGUUCUUAUUUCGUUGGUACUCAUCAGAACAUUUGGAGAUUGCUUUGGAAGCUCGCUCGCCCUCGUGAUUGCGACGCCGAGUGCAGCUGUCCGUGGUGCUGAAUGUGUUUGCUUUUCACGAUUGUCUAC